This 492-nucleotide ribosomal RNA is filed under the name uncultured bacterium. Its description in RNAcentral is "partial 16S ribosomal RNA". It matches the Rfam family "Bacterial small subunit ribosomal RNA", at positions 29 to 507 of the family's 1533-position model. The record is from RNAcentral.
AGUGAACGCUGGCGGUAGGCCUAACACAUGCAAGUCGAACGGCAGCACAGUAAGGGCUUGCUCUUACGGGUGGCGAGUGGCGGACGGGUGAGGAAUACAUCGGAAUCUACUUUUUCGUGGGGGAUAGCGUAGGGAAACUUACGCUAAUACCGCAUACGACCUACGGGUGAAAGCAGGGGAUCUUCGGACCUUGCGCGAUUGAAUGAGCCGAUGUCGGAUUAGCUAGUUGGCGGGGUAAAGGCCCACCAAGGCGACGAUCCGUAGCUGGUCUGAGAGGAUGAUCAGCCACACUGGAACUGAGACACGGUCCAGACUCCUACGGGAGGCAGCAGUGGGGAAUAUUGGACAAUGGGCGCAAGCCUGAUCCAGCCAUACCGCGUGGGUGAAGAAGGCCUUCGGGUUGUAAAGCCCUUUUGUUGGGAAAGAAAAGCAGCAGGUUAAUACCCCGCUGUUCUGACGGUACCCAAAGAAUAAGCACCGGCUAACUUCGUG